UCCUCACCUGGGUUUUCGCUCCCUCAUACAUAUCCUUAAUUACUCUGCUAUAUGCCUGCGGUACUCCACUCACCUCCAAGCAUCUCCAAAGCACCUCCCUGGGGACUUUGUCGUACGCCUUUUCUAGGUCGAUGAACACCAUGUGCAAAUCCUUCUUCCUUUCCCUAUAUUGCUCCACCAACCGCCGUACCAGGUGAAUUGCCUCCGUCGUCGAGCGGCCGGGCAUAAAUCCGAACUGGUUUUCCGAGAUAGACACUAUCCGUCUCAGCCUCACCUCGACCACUCUCUCCCAGAUCUUCAUAGAGUGACUCAGUAACUUAAUCCCCCUAUAGUUAUUGCAACACUGAAUGUCCCCCUUAUUCUUAUAGAGGGGGAUCAUGGUACUCCACCUCCACGCCUCGGGCAUCUUUGCUGUCCUGAAAAUUUCAUUGAACAAUGCAGUCAACCACCUUACACCAGCCUCUCCAACGAACUUCCAAAACUCGACCGGUAUCUCAUCCGGCCCCGUCGCCCUACCCCUUCGCAUCCUGUGGACAGCCUGUCUAACCUCUUCUACCUUAAAACGUCUACAAUAGCUAAAAUCCCGACACUUCUCUGAGUGCUCCAGUUCCCCUAACACAAUAGCUCUAUCCCCUUCGUCAUUCAAGAGCCUAUGAAAGUACGACUGUCAUCUAUUCUUAAUGUGGCCGUCCUCCACCAACACUCUACCGUCCUCCCCCUUAAUGCACCUCACCUGAUCGAGGUCACGACCCUUCCUCUCCCUAGCCUUAGCGAGUCUAAACAACUUUUUCUCCCCUCCCUUCCCCUGUAACCCUGCAUACAGGCUCUCAAAGGCGGCCGUCUUAGCUGCCGUGACUGCUGACUUAGCCUCCUUCCUCGCUAGCUUGUACUCUUUCCUGUUUACCUGCUUCUCCUCUUCGUCCUUACUCUCCACCAACUUGGCAUACGCCCCUUUCUUGGUCCCCACUUUCUUCUCUACCUCUUCAUUCCACCACCAAUCCCCCUGAUGGUGGCCGGCCCGGCCCCUAGAAAAUGGUGAGCACAAUUAUCUGCUCAAGGGUACGUUGGCAGAUGCAAGGGGAAGGAUUUGAAUUUGAGUUCCGGAUGUUAAAAAUCGGCGGUUGUGAUUUGAUCUUGGGUAUGGAUUGGAUUGAUUUGGUAGCCCCCGUUGUGUUAAAUACUAGGCUACAUAGUAUUACAUUUCUUCGAGGUAAUAGGAUGGUGACCAUUGUGGGUUAUCAGGAAUCUCGAUCCUUGGGUUUGGAAGAUUCUGAAACCAUUCGUGGGCUUCUACGAAGAAGCGGGUGCAAUUGGGUGGCCCAAAUCCGUCAAAUAGAAUCAGCUGGUUCUGACAAGCAAGAGAUUAUCCCAAACCAUGUUGAAUUGCUUUUGAAUGUCUUUCAGGAACCUAACUCUGCCACCAAUUCGUUCUUGUGAUCAUGCCAUUGAACUUUGUCCAGGUUCGAGACCAGUGGAUCAGAGGCCUUAUUGUUACUCCCAUGAGCAAAAAAAUGCCAUCGAAAAGAUUAUCAGUGACAUGUUGGAGGCUAAAACUCUGAGGCCUAGUAAUUCACCGUUUGGUUCCCUAGUGAUUUUAGUCAAAAAAAAAGGACUCAACAUGGAGAUUAUGUGUCGGUUACCGCAAUCUCAAUGACAUUACCAUUAAAAAUAAAUACCCAAUUCCGGUGGUGGAGGAUUUACUUGAUGAGCUAAAUGGGUCACACUAUUUCUCAAAGUUAGAUUUGAGAUCGGGCUAUCACCAAAUUAGGAUGAAGGAAGGCCAUGAACAUAAGACCGCUUUCAAAACAUAUCAUGGGUUGUGGGAGUUCAAUGUUAUGCCUUUUGGCUUAACGAACGCUCCAGCAACUUUCCAGUCCCUAAUGCAUAGUAUUUUCGGUCCUUACCUCUGAAAAUUUUUGUUGGUUUUUUUUGAUGACAUUCUAGUCUACAGUCCGGACCUUCAAAAGCAUUUGCAUCAUUUACAGGUUGUGUUCGAGCUUUUGGUGGCUCACCAAUUGUAUGCGAAUCGCUCAAAGUGCAGUUUUGCUCAGGACAAAGUGGAAUACCUGGGACAUGUAAUAAUGGGCGAGGGAGUGAGUACUGACAAAGCCAAGAUAGAAGCAAUGAUAAACUGGCCAUUACCAGUGAGCAUCAAGGGAUUGUGUGGAUUCCUAGGCUUAACGGGUUAUUACAGGCUUUUUAUUCAAAAUUAUGCUGUGAUCAGCAAGCCUUUAACAACCUUGUUAAAGAAAGAAGGCUUCCUAUGGACUAAGGAAGCAACAUUGGCUUUUGAAACUCUUAAAUAUGCCAUGACCCAUGCACCUGUUUUGGCCCUUCCCGAUUUUAAGAUUCCUUUCACUGUGGAGGUGGAUGCAAGUGGACUGGGGGUUGGAGCAGUUUUGUCACAAAACAAUAAACCCAUUGCAUUCAUGAGUCAAGCUCUUAGUCCAAAACAUUUGGGUUUGUCGACAUAUGAAAAAGAAUUGAUUGCUCUUUUGCUUGCCGUGGAAAAGUGGAGGCAUUACCUCCAGCCUCAUCACUUUGUGAUCAAAACAGAUCAUUUCAGUUUGAAGUUCCUUAGAGAUCAACGCAUUACUGCUUCCUUGCAACAUAAGGGAGUGACUAAAUUAUUGGGCUUAAGCUACGAAAUGCAUUACAGACAAGGUAAAGAAAAUGUUGUAGCUGAUGCGUUGUCUCGAAGAAGUGAGGAAGCCAAAGAAGUUGACGUAGGGGCAGAUUAUUUUGGCUUGUGUGUAUCACUACCUAAAUGGGUUCAAGAGAUAGUGGAGAGUUAUGAGGGUGACCAAGAAGCUCAAGACCUGAUCACCAAACUCAGUUUAGAUCCAAAAGCAGAAGAAGUAACUUUACAGUCAGGGCUGCUGAGGUUCAAAGGCAAGGUGUGGGUUGGAACUUGGAACACAAAAAAGUCUUAGGCCUAAAUUGGUUACAGACAUGCAUUCAACAGCAUGGGGUGGACAUUCAGGAGUACACACGCCACAUACCAAAGACUCAAAUCAAUUUUUUACUGGCCAAAGAUGAUACAAUAUUUGAAGAAAGUGGUUCAAGAAUGUGAAAUUUGUCAACGAAACAACGGUGAAAGUUGUGCUUACCCCGGGUUACUACAACCACUACCAAUCCCAAAUAAGGCUUGGGAGCAUAUUUCCAUGGAUUUCAUCGAAGGUUUGCCUAAAUCGCAAGGGAAAAAUGUCAUAUUGGUGGUAAUUCAUAGGUUUGCGAAAUACAACCAUUUCAUAAGCCUAUCACAUCCUUAUAAUGCAUCCCAAAUUGCCCAAGUGUUCUUGGAUCAGGUGUGCAAAUUACAUGGAGUGCCUUGCUCAAUUGUGUCAGAUAGGGAUCCAGUUUUUGUGAGUUUAUUUUGGCAGGAGCUGUUCAAAAAUCUGCAGGUUCAACUCAAAUUAAGUUCGACUUACCACCCGCAUACAGACGGGCAAACUGAACAACUAAAUCAAUGUCUUGAAUCAUAUCUGAGAUGCAUGACUGGACAAAAACCAAAAGAAUGGUGCAAAUGGCUUCCAUUAGCAGAGUUUUGGUACAAUACCAAUUUUCAAUCGGCUAUUGGUAUGACUCCAUUCCAGGCGCUUUAUGGAUAUAAACCCCCUUCAGCCUACAUUUGAGCUAAUUGCCCAGUACAAGGUUGAAUCAGUCGACCAAGUGUUGAAAGAAAGACAGAUCGUGAGCAAGCAACUCAAAGAGAAUUUAGUCAAGGCCCAAGCUCGUAUGAAACAGUAUGCAGAUAGCAAGAGGAGUGAACGAGAAUUUGAGAUUGGAGACGUGGUUUUCAUCAAAUUACAGCCUUAUCGCCAAACGUCAGUUGGAGUAAGGAAAAAUCUUAAGCUUGCUUCAAAGUUUUUUGGUCCUUAUCCAAUAAUUAGAAAGAUCAGUGCAGUAGCGUAUGAACUGAAAUUGCCCAGUGAAUCCAAAAUUCACCCUGUUUUCCACGUUUCUCAACUUAAGAAAAGCUUGGACCCAAUGCUUUUCCUGUAAAGGAACCUCCUUGCAGCACUCUAGAUGGUCAGCUUAUAGCUGAACCAAUGGCGAUUCUCGAUAGGCGUCUGGUGAAGAAGAAGAAUAGGGAGGUGACUCAAGUUCUUGUGCAAUGGACCAAUUUAGCUCCAGAAGAUGCCACAUGGGAAGAUUAUUCCUUCAUCACUGCACAGUUUCCAAAUUUUCAACCUUGAAGAUCAAGGUUCUCAAAGGGGAAUGGGAUUUAGCAGAUCAGAGGUGAAGUGCAGUGUUACUGUUGGCCCAAUUCAUGGUGGGCCUAAUCAGUGGUUCAUAGCCAUUCAGUUAUUGCUUAAGCCCAGCCCAGUUAUGCUUUCUCUUAUCCAUUUCUAUUUUUGUCUUGAUUAGGUGUCCUUUCAUUACUAGUGGAGUACAUUAGCUAGCUGUAGUAUGAAUGUAACAUUCAAAGAUAAACACUGUAGCGUCUUGUUGGAUGAUAUUUACUUUUGCAUCAGACUUGACAAUAUUUGAAAUCUACUUAAGUGCUGCGAAGAUAAACCGGAGGUGUCUGAGUUUCUCGUUAGCAUCAAAGUUGCAUAAUGAAUUAAAUUGCCUGCUCCUAGUUUGUGCAAGUAGCAAUGUCUUUCAAACAAAAUAGGGCAACCUGGUGCACUAAGAUCUAGCUAUGUGUAGGGUCUGGGGAAGGAUCGGACUGCAAGGGUCUAUUGUACGCAGCCUUAGGCUGCAUUUCUGCUUUUUUCCACAGCUCAGACCCGUGACCUUUUGGUCACAUGGCAGCAACUUUACCAGAUAGAGAAACAGCACUGAUAGAGGACUGAUAGAGGACUCACUGGCUUGCAGCUGCAUUGCAAAAAAAUCCUAAGAUCUAAGAAUAUAUAUUGUUUAAAAACUUAACAGCUGAUGUGCAACUGAAAAUAAGGAAUGCUGGUAGGCAGCUUCAUGUGUAAUUGUAAUUGAAGUUUGGUUGAUGUCGCAGUUAAUUUGAUCUGUUUGCCAUUCUGCAGCUUGUGAAGUAUUGCUUCCUCACUGCAGUGCCUCUGAGCUUUGUAUUUCAGGAUAUUAGAUGCUCAGAGUUUUCCGAUGGAACAAAAAUAUUUAUAUCUGGUUUUGAAAGUUACCUGCUGAUUCGGUGUCAUGCUUAUUGCACUUUUAUAGGAUGAGGAAGAUGUAGCUCAAUAGGAUGAAUGGAAAAGGAACUUUUAUUGGAUGUAAAGUUAUGCUUACUGCCUGGAGCAUUAGAACUGAAUUUUACUUUGCUUGGCCCUAGUUUCUCCUCCUUUUUUGUGCUUGUCCGCAUCCCAUGAAAAGGUUACUGAUCCCUGAAAAUUGCAAUAGGAGUAGGUUACUAUGCAUGUACUUCUGUUUUGGGGCCAUCAUCCAAUUCCCUUUUUGAUAUGAUCCUUGGAAAGCGCAAACAUAACUUUACUUAAUAUCAUGAUUGUCCUUCAAUUGCGCUUGUGCUCAGCCUCGAAAGAUAUCCUUCUGUGCACCAUUACGUAUGACGAAGUUCCCUUGUGAUUAUACUGCAGUGGGUAGCAGGCUGUGAGUAAGUGAUAUUCCCAUAGGUGGGGGUGGAACAUCUUAUAGAAUUCAAUUGGGUCUGUAUCUAGAGAAGAUAUUUAGUUUUGUGCUUUUUAGCUUGAUGCAUUUUGCCUGAGAGAUGUUAGAUUCAUCACUACUUCACUAGAAUAAUUCUGGUGCCUGAAACCCAAAAUACCUCUCUCUUGGUUCCCACGUUGAGGCUGAUAUUGCAUUAGUCCACUACAAAACUGACGAAAGAGGAUAAUAUUAUGUAGAGAUGAUGAUGAGAGUGUAACAAAGCUGCCUACGCAAACAGAUUUUAGAAAGAACAUCCUGAACAUGAGGCCGAACUUGUCUCGGGGCUUGUUGAAUCCCUGCCUGAACUUGGCCUGGGAAACGAAAAUGAAAUGAAGUUGUCCAUCUUUCAUACUGUGAAUGUUUGAGUGGCUUGUGGAACUGAACUUGGAUUGACAGUGAUCUUGCUCUUUUCAGUCGCUUAAAUUGGCGCCAUGGGGUUGGCAUUUUUCGGCAAUCAUAUCCCAGUUUUCUAUUGUCCAAACACUCAGCAUGAACAGGGCUCUUGUUUUCGUCAUGAAAGAAUAAUUCAGGCUAUUGACGUCCUUGUAUUUGCCUCGUAAUGUCUUCCAUACCACCGUUCACAUUUAAUCUACAUUUGCUUUGCGACUACUAGACAGCUGUUGUCACUUUCUGUAACGACCUACAUAUACUAUUAUUCUUAAAAUAUUACUUUCUGUGACGACCUAUGUACAAUCAAAUGUUUUCUUGUACUUUUAUUGAUUUUGCUCUACCUUUGAUGGAAAUUUAGAACUUAUUUAGCCAAGUUCUUUUUAUAGACAUCUAGACGUGGUUGGAUAGAUUCGUACAUCUUUAAUCAAAAGUUCUGCGAAAUGCUAGAAAUAUUUUAUAAAAAAUUGAUGUAUAAAUAACAUAAAUAUCAAUCCUUUUGUAAGUAAUUACACACUCUCCCACUUUUUUAAUUACUUUACUCUCUCUUCCUAUUAAUAUACAUAGUAUUCUGUGUAUAUGUUGAGAUUUUUUAUAAUAUUGGAAACAUAAGUGGUGUAUUUGUGUAAUUUUUAGAAAAUUGAUAGGUAGUAUUUUUUCUUUAAAUGUGUUCGACAAAAAGGAUUCAAUUAAAUCCCUUUCACGCCACUGUAGACUAUACCUACAAUUAAAAUGAAAGCUUAAUUUUGUUCUUACAGUACAUCAGAAUUAAAAUUUUAUUAGGGUAAAGCUUUCAAAUUUUUCUUAUUCUGAACAUAUUUUUCGUGUAUAAUAUUUCUAGAAAGAGUACUUUUAGAAAAUAGAACAACUUGUGUUUAACUAAUUAAUCUGAAGCACUUCUACCAUCAUUGAGAAGUACUCCUCCGUUCAUUUAUAAGUGCUCCUUUGGCUAAGGCACAUCCUUUAAUAAAUUAUUAACUUCUAAAAAAAUAAAAGUAAUUUUCUCAACUUACUCCUAAUUAAAUUUUAUCUUAUCUCGUGUCAAGCUGACAUUAAUUAUUAUAUAUAAACUGAAGAGCAUAUUAGAAAGAUUAUGCUCAAAUCAUCCUUGUAGGCUCAGACAUACACUUAUUUAGUAACAAAAUCACAACCCAAAAGGAAUACUUGUAAAGGAAUUGAGGGAGUACUUUUUUCGUAAAAGCUUGGCAAGACCUAACUCUUCAAAAUAAAUAUUUUUUUUUGUAAAAAGUACGCAUUUCCUUUUGCAUUUCCAGAAGCUAAAAAAUCAUUUGCAGUAAUGGAACGAAUAGCUUUGGGUAAAGCAGAAUAUGUAGGUAUAUUUUUAUAGCCAAACGUAAUUGAUUAACCGAUAGAAAUUCAAUAUACUGUUUCUCAUGGUAAAGUACUGGAUUUCUUACCCGUCUGUUCCCAUUUUUUUUAUGAAGAUUGAAGAAUUACCUUAAUGUUUAUUAAUCAAACUGACUCAUUACCAGCUCUGAAAGACAAUAAGCAAACCUUGAACAUCAAUCCCCCAGAAUAAUGCCACACGUAGGGUCUAGAGAUGGUAGGAUGUACCCAGAUGGACCCAUCUGACAAAUAAAUCCAAUUUAAAAGCUACAUCCAGGGUAAUAAUUUUCAAGGAGUGAAAUUAAGUACUUGAACCAUGCUGCCAAUGAUGUCAGUACCAAAUCAGAACUCAAACACUCAUUGACUUUUUUUAAUCUUUUCUAGUCAGCAAAACAAUUUGGCUCAUUUCUCCUGGCUCGAUGAACAUAGCAAGUGAAUAAGCGUUACAUUAAAUCGUUUCUAUUCAUUUGGGGUGCACCAAAAGUUUAAUAUACGAGUAUUAACUCAUCCAAUUGAUGAUGCCAAGGGCUUGUACAUCCAAGCUAACAGUAAUUUAUGCACAAAAAAGACCAAGAUGACAAAACUAUAUAGAAACAUUAGGAUUAACGUAAUCAGCAUAUUCUGCCCUGAAGAAAUAAAGCAAUGCUAUAAUGUUCUAACCAAGAUGUUCAAGAAUAUUUGUUUCUCUUUCUCCAUUUUUGGGUUCAGGACCAUGGGGUAUAAUAACAUCCUUGCUCUUUCCAAAUGACAGCAUUACUUCCUUCUGAUGGAAGAAUAUAAUGAAUAGGUUCUGCAAGAUUUAAACAGGCCAUCCAAAAGCAUCUGCAUUUCUUCCCAAACUCUGCGAGCUAGCUAUGUUUACAUGGCCUGAAACUGCAGAGCAAGAAAAGUAUCAAAACGGCCAAGAAGCAGNNNNNNNNNNNNNNNNNNNNNNNNNNNNNNNNNNNNNNNNNNNNNNNNNNNNNNNNNNNNNNNNNNNNUGAUCUUUAAGGUCAAAUGCUGUGAGCUAAAGGAAGACGAAUAAAACCUGAAAUAAUAGCACAAGUAGCUUCUGUUGUCGGCUAACGGAAAAGUCUUGGCACUGAUGCUUUUGGAAUCUUGCCUUCAAGUUUUAGCCUUCUAUAUGAUUCUCUCAUGUGACACGGUCUGAUAGGCCCUGUAUCCUUCCUCUCAUCCAUCACCAGUCUAGCUGAAAAUAAGAAUUCCAAAAAAGAAACAGUAUAGUGAGUACUAGGGAUAGAUUGAUGCCACUAUAUGCCCCUAAUUUUACUCAACUGACGACUUUUCACCUUGAACUACUAAGGAUUGGUGCCAGUACAUUUCUGUUAAUGAAUCCAUGAUCUCAGUAAAUCUAUUUUGGGAAGAAGGCAGGUGAGGGGAUGCAGAAGAGAGUGUAAUUGAGGUUUGAUGAAGAGAGGACGGCCGAGAGCACGAACAUCAAAGAGACGGUUGGAAGCUUCUCGAUCUCAAAGGGCAAUAAUCAGUACUUUUUCUUGCUUUAAAAGCCCCAUUUCUCCCACACAUGUCAGCUACUUCAGUAUAUGAUAAUCACACCAAAACACGAAAGACGAAAUAAACACAACAACAUACCCAGUAUAUUCCCACCAAGUGGAGUAUGGGGAGAAUAAGUGAACACAAUCCAUACCACUACCUCAGAGGUGAGAUAGAAAAGUUGUUUCUGAUAGACCCCCGGCUCAAGAUAAAACAAUCUAGAAAAUGCAUAGUAAAAGAACAAGAUACAGUAGAAAUUACCCCACUCAAUAAUACCAUAAACAAGACUCACCACCAAGUAAUACAACAAACGAUACAAUAUUCUGAAAUAAAACUAGUACUAUAACUACUAACACGGAUAACAAAGUCCUCCUACCUAUUAGCACUGAUGCACUCGUUCCUACUAUUCUUCUACCCUAAUCCCGCCUCCUCCACAUCCCCUAUCUAGGAUCAUGUCCUCGGUGAGCUGAAGCUGCUCCAUGUCAUGUCUAAUUACCUUCCUCCAAUAUUUCUUCGAUCUAUCUCUACCUCCCAUGAAUCCAUCACUAGCCAACCUCUCAUACCUCCGCACUGGGGCAUCCGUGCCCCUCCUCAUCACGAAAACUAAGGAAACGAUAGAAUCAAAAUACGAAAAGAUAAAGGAUAGAGAUAAAAAUAGAUAGAUAGACACAAGAAGAUAAAGAAAAGGACAAGUUAUGGAUAUAUUAAAACCAAAGAUCUCCCUUUUGAUUAACAACAAGCACCGAUCUCUUACGUAGACCGCGAGGGAAUCAAACUCCCAAGUAACCAGACGUUGAUCAUGUUAGACGAGGAGAGUUGUACAACACGCCGCCUUAUCAAGCUAUCUGUCACACACUGUGCGGGCCAUGCUCAAUGGCUAGGUGGGAGCGCCACAGAGAUAUAGGCUAUGACAAAACCUUCCCCUAUGCUCAUUUAACAAGGAAGAUCGAAUUUGGCCAAGGAUUAUUGUUGCUUAUUUGAUUCCAGGGACCCAUUUCACUAGUAUUACGCAUCAUCGGGCAUGUCUAGUUUCUGCUUUAACGACUAAUGUUCCUAUUAAUGAUGGUGCAGUGAUUAGAUUAGCCAUGCAGAAAGCCCGAGUUCACAAGGGCGUUUGGUUCAACUUUAGGAGUCUUGUGACCGAGAACUUUAAGACAAUGGGGUCGAGGAGGACCUGGCUGAUUACAAGCCUCCUAGGAACUUGAGAGGGUUUGAUGUGUCUAAGGUCAAAGAGCCCAAUUCUACCCAUAGGCCAGUUUUCACGACUGCGGAAAGGAAUGCACGAGAUGAUAGCUUCUUCCGUCACUUAUAUGGCAUGACUAAGCUGACGAUGAUGUGUGGCGGUCGAACACCUACUACUGAAGAGUUGAGGUAGUUGGACAGUGAUUACCCAUGAAUGACCAUGCCAAAGCAAUGUGCCUAGUGGGUCAGACCUUUAGAGAGCUGCUAGAUGAUGAUGUUCCUACCGAUGAUGAUCCCUUGCUGGUUGAUUCUGAUGUGGAGAUUAAUUCUGACGCGGAGGAUCCUGGGAUGGGAUAUCUGAGCCCCGACGUGGAGGAAAAUGAUGACUAGGCCCAAGAAGUUCUUCUCCCCAUCUUUUGGUUUAUGUUUUUUUUUUGUUGUGCACUAGGGACAGUGCUUUGUCUAAGUAUGAGGUGGGGUAAAAGUGUUCCUUGGGUUUGUUAAAUUGAUUAAUGUUUGCUGGUUGGAUAUUUUGGUUUGUAAUAAGUAGUAAUGAGUAGGUUGACUUAGAUGAUUUGGUAGUAGUACUUUGUUAUUAGUAUUAGUUGGUUUUCUUUAUUUUGCUUUUGGGUGCCUCGGCUUUUGUUUUCGGUUCUUUCCUAAGGAUAGUCCCUUUGAACCGAGGAGGAUUAUUUUUUAGAACUAGGGUGUGCAUUAAAGUCAUAAUUAAGUACUUUUCUCAAUGAUAGAUGGAUGAAGACCGUCUUAUGAAAAAAAUUAGUCAUAAGAGUAGGAAGUAGAACCCUGUCAUGCAAUCGAGAUUAAGUGCUCUUGUUGUCAUGCAAUCGAGAUUAAGUGCUCUUGUUGUCAUGCAAUCGAGAUUAAGUGCUCUUGUUGGUUGCCUAACUGUGUAUGACACAAGUGUGGGAAAAUACUAUUUCAGACAUGUCAAAGAUGCUAAUAAGCAUAGGCCUUUUCCUUUACCGUGCGAACUUUGAUGAGUUCUCCAUUGAAACCAUUUUUAGUGCUACUUUUUUAGCAGUCGGUUUUAGAGAUAAAGUGCUUGAAUAGCUACAGAGGGCAACAUGCUCAUGUUUGGAUAGUUCUAAGGGCUGCUACUAUUACAUUUAACUUUAUCUCCAUUGAAACCAUUUUUAGUGCUACUUUUUUAGUAGUCGGUUUAAGAGAUAAAGUGCUUGAAUAGCUACAGAGGGCAACAUGCUCAUGUUUGGAUAGUUCUAAGGGCUGCUACUAUUACAUUUAACCUUUAAUCGAUGAACCAACUACGCCUCACUGGAAUAGAUAUUUUAUCUGAUAUCUUUUUUAAAAAAAAGUUUGUCUUAUCUGAUAUCUAAUAUAAGCUUGUAAAUGUCUACCAACCUGUUUCAACAAGCUCACCAACAAACAGUUUUGCUAUACCAGACACCACAAUUGUCAUUGGCAACGAUAUCUUUGAACUUCCUGUGAUACUGGUCAGUAACUGCAUAGACAACAUAGAUGAAGUGAUGAAACAUACCAAAUCAUGCAUGAGACAAACAAACAUUUUAAUGGCCCAGGGGCCUGAACAAUGUCCUUAUAAGGCAGCAAAGAUCAUUGUUCCCAAAGACAUUCCCGAAAUUUGGCAACUAAACUUGAGGUUCUGAAAUUAUAUAUUCUUGGUAAAAGACAAACUGAACACCAAUUGCUUUUAUCGGCUAAAUGUAAGGGACUGGUCAAAUAUUAGAGAAGAAAGCCCUAAAAUCUCAAAUAAUGGAAACAGAGCAGCAUUAGACAAGAGGUGAAAUAAAAAGGGAAAUAAGAGUCUUCAAGUAAAAGACUACUGCAUUUCUACCUUUCUCUUUCUGUUACAUAUUUGUUUGUGUUAACUGUACUGAUAACUUAGAAAGCCUCAUCAUAUAUUAGAAAAAUUAAUCAACAGAGAAUGAAGAACUGUUACCCAAUUUUCUUCUCAUUAUAGCCCAUUUUGUCUAAACCCCCUCUCACAGCUCAAGACAAUGAACAGCACACAUAUGAAUGGCCAUACAUGCUCAUAAGUUAAGAGAGGGCGAUGAACAGUCUCAGUCUAGCAUGUAUGGUACUUUUAGGAGAUGAUACAAAUCAUAUGUAACAUGUGCAAAAAGAGGUUAAAGGAGGAAAAAGCAAGAGAGUCAGCAACAUACCUUCUUCAUGUUAGAUUUCUGAAAUCCAGACCUACGGUAAGAUUCAUACCUAUUCAUUUGCUCCUCUGUGAACUGGGACAAUAUAGUCCUGCAAAAAAAGAGAAUAAAUUGAAAUACAACAGCUUCCAAUAAUAAUGUUUCUUUUUUUUAGUUACAGAUGAAUUAAGGACUACGGCAUGAUUGCUAUUGUGCACCAGCCAUGGGAAAGCAAUCUCAUGUACCAUCCCAGAAGGCUCUAAUGAUUCAAGGUAAUGCUUCACAAUUAACAAACCAACAGAGGAAGGAUGGUAACCAAGCAAAGCCAACUGAAGUAAGUAGCCAAACCCCAAUAGGAGUUGACUCUGGUUUACAUGAACAGGAAACCAAUGGAACAGUGAAAUCAGCAAGUCAAUCAUGGACUGAGGUAGUGCAAGGUAGAAGCAGCAGUCCUGCGCUGAAGAUGAUCUCGGCAUGGGAUUCUUUUGACAUAGGGAAGAUAGAAAAUGCAGGUUUCAAACUCUAAUAUGUUGCACCUAAAGUACAUGGUGAGUCUACUGUUUGUGAAAUUGAAGAUAUCACUGAUAACUUGCAUAUUGGCAUAAUGCAAUAGUUUGCCAUGUGUUAGGGGCUCAACCCCCUUCGACUGUAUUGAAUGGCUACAUUCAACGACUAUGACUAAACAAGGAAUCAACAAAAUCUAAAUGCUGCGAAAUUGGGAAAAACAAAGUCAUCAAGGAGGGGAUAUUUCAGUUUGACAACAAACCCUUCAUUGUGAAGGCAUGGACUCCAGACAUGGAAUUCACUAGAGAUGAACUGUAUUCAGUUCCUAUUUGGGGAGCUUACCCGGCCUAGAUUUCAAGUACUGGAGCCCUACAGGUUUUAGUAAGAUUGGAAACUUGAUAGGGAAGCCUAUUAUGGUUGAUAAGAGUACUGAAAAAAUAACAGGCCUUAAUUUUGCAAGAUUUCUAGUUGGAGUUGAGAUGAAUACUGAGUUUCCAGAGAAGAUGUGUUUCAGGAAUGAGAAAGGCAUGCUACUUGAGCAAAAAAUAGUGUAUGAUUGGAAACCAACUCUCUGCAAAUGCUUCCAAAAACAUGGGCAUGCAGAGGAGGAAAGUAGGAGGAAGAGACGUCCCACUGUGAACCAGGACGACACAAACAGAUGACACCAAAACAGCAGAUGAGAAAGUGGAAAGGGGCCAAGAUAAAGUAGCCGCAGCCACAAACAAGCUUCAGAAUGCAGGGAAGGGACCAGUUGCCAAUAGUAACAAGGGGAUGGGACAAGAAACCAAUAUCAUCAGCGAGAUAAGACCAGAAAACAAAGGCAAUAAAGAUGGUGGUAAUACUCAGGCUGGAGGUAAACGGAAGGAGAAGGCAAAGGAUGGAUUACUCCAAUACAUACCAGCAAACAGCAGCCAAACAGACUAAUCAAAUAAGAAGUCCAAUUGUUGUCGAUGUCCUUGAUGAGUCAGGUACAAGCAAACAAAUGCCAUUAGCAGAAGGAGAGUGUGUGGUCGUACCAUUUCCACUUAUGGGAAUGGAUAGCCUACUUUGUUGGAAUUUAGGGGCUUAAAUGGCCCUAGUAAGCAGGAGGUAAAGCUCCUGUGCAAUUAGCAACAUGCAGGUUUGAUUAGUCUAUUAGAACAAAGAUAAAGUCUAUAAUUAGAUUGAAAAGUUGGCAAAAAAUAGUUCAGUGGUUGGAAGUCUACAAAUGGCAGAAUAUGGAUUGUUUGGAGGGAAGAUUACUUUCAGGUUGUUCAUACUAUGAAUGCACAAGCAUUAACUUGCAAGGUCACUCAUAUUACUGGAAAAAGGGAAUUUAUGUCGAUAAUUUGUAUGCCCUCAACAGUAGGGAUGACAGAAGGGUAAUAUGGACCUAGUCACGUAAGUAGGCCUUUCGCCAUAGGAUUUGGGACCUAAUUUCAAGUUCUGAUUUGAAAUCAGCAUUUCUUUAUGAGAUUUGUACAAAAUUUCAACUUCAAUUUCGAAUCUCAGAUUCUCCAAAAAGUGGAUUUCAAAUUCCAAAUUUUGAUCUCUAUUUUUUUAAAAUGUAAGACUUAACCCAUAAGUUUAUACCUUGUAAAAGAAGACCCAUCUUUUAAAUUUUAUAAAAAAAUACUCAAGCUCGACGUGAAUAGAUUAUAUGUACCUGUGGAAAGAUUAUAUUAAAGAAUAGCUAGUUACUACUAUUAUUGAUUUUUUUGACCAGGGAAUAUAAAGUUAUGUGCAUCUAAUAGCUUGUGAUAACAUGUAAUCAUAAACAUUUUUUUAUAAAAGGAACAUGAAGAUAUGUAAUUUACUAAUCCGGCGCCUUAGGAUAUUACAACUCGUUGUUUAUGAACUAUGGUUUGCUCAUUUGGUAAGAUUGUAUAAGAGUUGAGAAAGUUUUGAUAAUUUUUUUUUUUAUGUUUAUGAGAACUAUAACUUUUUUGAAACUAUAACUUAAGAAAUCCAAAUUGCAUGUACACAAAAUUUCAACUUCAAAUCAACCUGAGUUCUGAUCACGAUUUUCAAAUCAUGUCCACAUGGGCCCUAAGUUCAAUUCAUGUAACUCACCCAGGUUGAUACUAUGAGAUUUUCACUUUGUUUUAAGACAGGAUGACAGAACUGGGGGCAGUCAAAUUACCUUGGGAGAGGUGCAGAAUUUCCACACUUGUGUAGACGACUGUGCACUGAUUAAGACGCCACAAAAAGGAGUAGAUAUACAUGGAAUUAUAGAGAAGGACAGGGAAAAUUGACUCCAAAGUAGAUUGGGUAUUUAUAGAUUGGGUAUUUAUGAACAGAGAUUGGAUUGACCAGAUGUAAGCAUAUACUGAAACUUUCUUGCCUGAGGGGGGUAGUGAUAAUUGCGCAGCUUAUUUAACUUUGACCUUGUCAUUACUGAGGAGGCGGCCCUUCAAAAACGUUUAACACUUGGUCUAUGCAUCCACAGUUUUUAACUAGAGUUAAAGGGAUCUCGCAACAACAUAUUGAGGAGUGUAGAAUGCAACAAGUGAUGAGGAGACUAAAAUUAGUGAAGAAGGGGUUAACGUAACUAAUGAAGCCAACCAUGACAAAGAGGUUCUUGAUCAAAUUAAGAAACUAUUAUAACUGAUCCCUACAGAUCAAACACUGCAGCAACCGGAGAAGGACAUAAACUAUUUAGGCAUUCAUCUUAUAUGGCCAAGGUCUUCCUUCAGCAAAGAAGUAAAGUUAUAUGGUUGAGGCUAGGAGAUGAUAAUACAAGAUACUUCUUCUCAGUGAUCAAGCACGGAAAACUGCAGCAGGCCAUAACACAGUCAAAAGAUAAAGAGUAAUGGGAUUCAAACUGAUCAGGAGGCAAUAGCAAAUAUCCUGGAGGAAUGUUAUAAGGAAAUGUUAGGGUGGAAGGGAAGUCAGAGAACAAGGGCUUUCAGAAGCUUCCUAUAGAAUGGACAAAGGCUAUCAGUCAGCCAACAGCUUGAAUUUGGCGCAGCAAUACAAUGAGAAUAUGUGAAGGCAAUGUUUGGCACUGAUAGCAACUAAAGUCCAGGACCUGAUGGAUAUGGAAGUGAUUUUUUCAAAAAAGAAUGGAGCAUAAUUGGAAAUGAUAUUACUGAUUGUCUGAUUCAAUAAUGGAGUUUUUUCAUAAUGGAAGCUGCUGAAACAGCUAAAUGCAACUUUGAUCUCCUUGAUUCCUAAGGUAGCAGUACCUCAGAAUACUAGACAAUUCAGGCCCAUAGCAUGUUCUAAUGAGUUGUACAAGUGCAUCUCUGAGGUGAUCCAUCAAAGAUUAUGGAAAGUUAUCAUCCCAAUUCCCAAGUUUUGCAGAGAAUGAGGUUGCAUUUGUUGGGGGUAGAUCAUUAAUGCACAAUGUCCUGAUAUGUCAUGACUACUCAAGACACUAUAACAUGAAAACCUCACCGGCAUGUAUCGCGAAAACUGACUUGAGGAAAACCUAUGACAUGAUAACAACAACAACAACAUACCCAAUGAAUUCCCACGCCUAUGGCAUGGUAAUCUGAGAUUUUAAUGCAGAAGCUUCAAAAGGAACCCAUUCAAUAGCAUGGUAAUGACUUGUGUAACUUCAAAAAAAAUUCACAGUGAAGGUAAAUGGAGAAGGAUAUGGCUGUUUCAAAGGAAGGAGAGGAGAGAGCUCAGGGUGACCCUAUGUCACUAGUGCUACAUCAAAAAUAUUGCAGAAGAUGAGUGGAACACCAUACUUCAGUUUCUCUUGGUGCUCAUUAAGCGUACUACUUGUAUGUUCAAUGGUAAUACUCACAGUUUAUUGGCCCCCCCCCCCAAAAAAAAAAAAAAAAAAAGAGGAAGUUUUUACUCAGAAAGAAGCUAAAAGGACUGAGGUGGCUGUGGUGUAAAGUCAAUGUCUGUGGAGAGUGUAAGCUUCUAAUUAGAUAUAGCUCCAAUCAUAGGGAUUCAAGAUUUUCAUGAUAAAAUCGCAGGCAGUCAAGGUGGAGGCUAUGGAAACUAUGAGUUUUUCUCAGAGGCCUGUUUAUUUGUUAGAAUGAGAUUAGGAUUACAUGAAUAGGCCUGUGAAUGGAGGAGUGGUGGUGACGUCAGCAGCCACCGGAUUCCAAAUCUCGACCUCUAUUUAUGUACUAUGUUACUCGUUGAACUAGAGAUAUUUAAGACAAGGAACAAUUUUGAAAAUGUCUUCACAGAGAGGAAAAAACACCACAGAGAAAUGUUUUCCCAUUUUUGUUCCCCAUUGUCUAUAAUAAAACACAGCAUAAAUAAAAUACUCUGUUUUACCGAAUAGCCCAAGAGUAUGAUUCCAGACCAGGUUCAAACAAUCUUCCUUAAAAUGCAAUAGGAGCUCUCUAUUACCAGUCAGAGGACUACUGGAAUUGGCCAAGCAAAACUAUAAAUUGGAUGUUAUGCCAGAAGUGCAGAGGUAAAUGUUACUGCUAAGGAAGGCUCAAGAAUAUACCCCGUAUAGUGGUAUGUGGUAUCUACGUUUUGGUUCAGGCAGUAAAAAAAAUUUUGACCAACCAAACCGACCAGUACUAAAAGUCUAACUAAUCCAAUAAACUGAAAACCAAACAGUUUGAUCUGGAAGGUCUCGGUGUGCUGCCCUCAUGAUUUGAGUAGUUUGGGCUUGUUGUAAGACUUACAUAUUCUUACUGAUAAUAUGCAAUAACACAGGAGAAAGAAAAUUGCAAACACUUCAUAGUCCAAAUUUCAAAAUAAUACCAAUAGUUUAGGCGAAGAAUAAAUAAUUACUCAAGAGACGAGCAAAGUUGACUUAACAAACUAGCAAACAAUGAUGUUGAAAGUGAAAACAGGAAAUUACAGCUUAUGGGCAUAUAGACUAUUUUUUAAUCUAUUAAAAAUAAAAUCAAUCGUUUUUUUAAUCUAUUAAAAAUAAAAUCCAUCGUCUAACACUCUCGUACUUUCAAUUUAUAUGACACUUUUUUUAACUUUUCACAUUCAGAACUGUUUGACACAUUCAGCUAGUGAUAUGAUUCUAUAAAUUCACAACUCUCAAUAAUACAAAUUUACAUAUUUUAGACUUUGAUAUGAUGUUUUCUCUAUCAAAAAAAACUUUUCAACCAUUACCUUUGUUAAAUAUGAUAGCAUUAUUAGAUAAUAUAGUUAUGAAAAUAUCUCUAUAAAUAGAUAGUGUAGAUAUAAGGAUAUCCCCAAAUCCCCAUAAUUAAGCACUUAGAAUAGUGCGCAAUAUUCUUAAUAGUUUCCUUCCUUAUUUUUAUUCGAUGUAACACUAUUUAAUCCCACUUGCUUGAGGGAAUAAUCAAGACACUAAUUCCAAAAUUCUCUUCUCCCUCUAAUUUCUCAUGGUAUCAGAGCCCUCCUUUCUCUAAUUUUCCUUCUUUUUCUCAAAAAAAGAAAAUACUGCAAAACCGAAUCGCAGAAACAGAAAGAAAAAAUCUGCCAGUUUUUUGUUACAGCUGGUUUCUACAUCCCUUUUGAUGAUAAAUCAUGUCUCCACACAAUAAUGACCACUCUAGAUGCACAACAAAUGUGGCUCAUAAUGGAGAUGGUAUUUAGGCCAUACCUGAUUUCAGGAAUACAACAACAACAACAACAGACCCAGUGUAUUCCCACCUAGUGGGGUCUGGGGGGUAAGAUGUACGCAAUCCAUACCUCUACCUCUGAUGAAGUAGAAAGGCUGUUUCCGAAAGACCCCCGGCUCAAGGCACGAGAUACUACACAAACACAUAGUAAAGCACAGAAGCAGAUUACAUAACAUAAAUACGGCACCCAUAAGUAAUAUAAAACAGAGGAAAGCAGAGGAAAGCACACAGAUUCGUAAUAAAACAUGGAACACGGAAUAUGGAAUCAUAACAGGAAUAAAACCCCCACCAAGUAAUCCAGACCUUCCUAUCUAGGGUCAUGUCCUCGGUGAGCUGUAACUGUUCCAUGUCCCGCCUAAUCACCUCACCCCAGUACUUCUUCGGUCUACCCCUACCCCGUCUAAAACCACCCACCGCUCGCCUCUCACACCUACGGACCGGGGCAUCCAUGCCCUUCCUCUUCACGUGUCCGAACCAUCUCAAUCGUGCUUCCCGCAUCUUGCACUCCACUGAAGUCACACCAACCUUCUCCCGGAUAGUCUCAUUCCAAACUCUAUCCCCUCUAGUCAGUCCACACAUCCAGCGCAACAUCCGCAUUUCUGCCACCUUCAUUUUUUGGAUGUGGGAGUUCUUAACUGGCCAACACUCCGCUCCAUACAACAAGGCCGGACGGACUACCACCCUGUAGAAUUUGCCUUUAAGCUUGGGCGACACCUUCUUAUCACACAGCACCCCCGAUGCGAGAUUCCACUUCAUCCAUCCCGCCCUAAUACGGUGCGAGACAUCCUCGUCAAUCUCACCGUUACUCUGGAUCACGGACCCGAGAUACUUGAACUUAUCCCUCUUCCCUACCUCCUGUGCUUCUAGCCUCACUACUACCUCAUUCUCCCGCCUCACGUCAUUAAACUUACAUUCCACAUACUCUGUCUUGGUUCUGCUCACCCUGAACCCUUUAGACUCCAGAGUUUGCCUCCACAACUCUAAUUUGUCAUUCACACCCCCUCGAGUCUCAUCUAUCAGGACUACAUCGUCUGCAAAAAGCAUACACCACGGCACCUCCCCUUGGAUACGCCGCGUCAACACAUCCAUUACUAACGCAAACAAAAAGGGACUAAGAGUAGAUCCCUGAUGCAAUCCUGUCAGGACAGUGAAAUGCUCUGAGUCUCCUCCCGCCGUCCUCACCUGGGUUUUCGCUCCCUCAUACAUAUCCUUAAUUACUCUGAUAUAUGCCUGCGGUACUCCACUCACCUCCAAGCAUCUCCAAAGCACUUCCCUGGGGACUUUGUCGUACGCCUUUUCCAGGUCGAUGAACACCAUGUGCAGAUCCUUCUUCCUCUCCCUAUACUGCUCCACCAACCUCCGUACCAGGUGGAUUGCCUCCGUCGUCGAGCGGCCGGGCAUAAAUCCGAACUGGUUUUCUGAAAUAGACACUAUCCGUCUCAGCCUCACCUCGACCACUCUCUCCUAGAUCUUCAUAGAGUGACUCAAUAACUUAAUCCCCUAUAGUUAUUGCAACUCUAAAUGUCCCCCUUAUUCUUAUAGAGAGGGAUCAUGGUACUCCACCUCCACGCCUCGGGCAUCUUUGCCGUCCUGAAGAUUUCAUUAAACAAUCCAGUCAACCACCUUACACCGGCCUCUCCAACGAACUUCCAAAACUCCACCGGUAUCUCAUCCGGCCCCGUCGCCCUACCCCUUCGCAUCCUGCGGACAGCAUGUCUAACCUCUUCUACCUUAAAACGUCUACAAUAGCUACAAUCCCGACACUCCUCUGAGUGCUUCAGGAAUAGAUCACCUAUAUUUAUCACUUUAACUGCAGCAGACUAUACUGAC
Molecule: long non-coding RNA, 19966 nt
Filed under: Capsicum annuum
Lineage: Eukaryota; Viridiplantae; Streptophyta; Magnoliopsida; Solanales; Solanaceae
Description: long non-coding RNA (CANN_LNC008260)
Source: RNAcentral